RNAcentral lists this ribosomal RNA (253 nucleotides) under uncultured bacterium. Its description in RNAcentral is "partial 16S ribosomal RNA". It matches the Rfam family "Bacterial small subunit ribosomal RNA", at positions 524 to 776 of the family's 1533-position model. The record is from RNAcentral.
UACGUAGGCAGCGAGCGUUGUUCGGAGUUACUGGGCGUAAAGAGUGCGUAGGCGGUUUUCUAAGUUUGGUGUGAAAUCUCCCGGCUUAACUGGGAGGGUGCGCCGAAAACUGGAAGGCUUGAGUAUGGGAGAGGAGACUGGAAUUCAUGGUGUAGCAGUGAAAUGCGUAGAGAUCAUGAGGAAGACCAGUGGCGAAGGCGGGUCUCUGGACAGUUCCUGACACUGAGACACGAAGGCCAGGGGAGCAAACGGG